GCUCAGACUACAGGUGCCUGCUACCAUGCCCGGCUAAUUUUUAGUAUUUUUAGCAGAGACAGGGUUUCACCGUGUUAGCCAGGAUGAUCUCGAUCUCCUGACCUCAUGAUCCGUCCGCCUCAGCCUCCCAAAGUGCUGGGAUUACAGGCAUGAGCCACCGCGCCCGGCCUGGGUCUGUUCUGUUUUAAAGCCUGCUUUUUAUCCUUUAAAAACCCUGAGACUCAAGGAGGCAACCCGAGUUGUGAGCUGGUUGUUUGCCUAGCACUUUGGCCCCACUUCUAUGUUGUUUUCCCACCAACAGGAUUUCCAAUUACCAAAACAAAAGUGAUCCUCAAGGUAGAGCAAGGACAAGAGCCAUGGAUGGUGGAGGGAGUGAAUCCACACCAGAGCUCUCCAGAAUCUGACUGCCCACUUGUUGAUGAACCAGGGAAGCAUCGGGAAAGCAAAGACAAUUUUUUGAAGUCAGUUUUGCUCACGUUCAAUAAAAUUCUGACUAUGGAGAGAAUCCACCAUUAUAAUAUGAGCACAAGUCUUAAUCCAAUGA
RNAcentral lists this small RNA (544 nucleotides) under Pongo abelii (Sumatran orangutan). Its description in RNAcentral is "processed transcript". Lineage: Eukaryota; Metazoa; Chordata; Mammalia; Primates; Hominidae. The record is from RNAcentral.